Molecule: long non-coding RNA, 489 nt
Filed under: Callithrix jacchus (white-tufted-ear marmoset)
Lineage: Eukaryota; Metazoa; Chordata; Mammalia; Primates; Cebidae
Description: lncRNA (ENSCJAG00000060712.2)
Source: RNAcentral
CUAUGUAUCAAUAUUAAACAAAAUUUACAACUUAAUUCCAAGUCACAGUAUCACAUUUCAAGUGCCCACUAUCCUGAUGGCAAAGGACUACUAUAUUACACAGUGCAGGUAGAGAAUAUUUCUGUGAAAUAAAGUAGUAAAUGUAAGAAGCUGUGUUUGCUCAUUCUUCUUGCCAGCAGAAUUUCACAUAAUCCAUUGCCAGUGGAAUUUCACAAAGUCCCUGACUUAGUGACUGAGCGCAGCCCUCCAAAAGAAUGCCCUGAAAAUGAGAGAGCACAGGCUCCCAUGUCUCUUGCCUGAAUCAGUGCAUUUUUUAGAAAAGGAGCUCAUGAUUAGCUGCCUUGAAGAAGAGUUGUGAUUAGUUAGACCUGAACCUCUCCUCACAGGAAAAGAGUGAGAACAUUUUUGUUCCCAAGGGAUAAAAAGGAAUCCCAUAUUGUGACUUGGGAGCUGGAUAUAUAGGUAGUGUAUGAGUGGAUCUGCUUGGGA